This 235-nucleotide unclassified non-coding RNA is filed under the name plant metagenome. RNAcentral's name for it is "partial contains small subunit ribosomal RNA and internal transcribed spacer 1". The stretch from base 1 to 54 matches the Rfam family "Eukaryotic small subunit ribosomal RNA", at positions 1778 to 1831 of the family's 1831-position model. The record is from RNAcentral.
GGAAGUAAAAGUCGUAGCAAGGUUUCCGUAGGUGAACCUGCGGAAGGAUCAUUCAUAAUAAGUGUUUUAUGGCACUUUUUUAAAUCCAUAUCCACCUUGUGUGCAAUGUCAGGGUUGAUUUUUCUCUCGAGAGGAUCAACCCCAAACAUCAACUAUAUCUCAACUCUUUGUCUGAAAAAUAUUAUGAAUAAAACAAUUCAAAAUACAACUUCCAACAACGGAUCUCUUGGCUCUC